Molecule: small nucleolar RNA, 99 nt
Organism: Saimiri boliviensis boliviensis (Bolivian squirrel monkey)
Lineage: Eukaryota; Metazoa; Chordata; Mammalia; Primates; Cebidae
Product: small nucleolar RNA U13
Source: RefSeq, a predicted model, not a curated record
AACUAAAACCUAAGCAUGACGAUUGGGUUUUCAUGCUACUGUAUGAUCAUAUGCCUUCCUCAAAACUUGUUACAACAUCAUCACAUCACCCAUCUGAUG